RNAcentral lists this ribosomal RNA (291 nucleotides) under Triticum aestivum (bread wheat). Its description in RNAcentral is "partial small subunit ribosomal RNA". The record is from RNAcentral. Lineage: Eukaryota; Viridiplantae; Streptophyta; Magnoliopsida; Poales; Poaceae.
AUGUUGAGGAAAGAUACUGCUACAAAUUCCGGGCAAUUAUAUAUCACCAAUGGCGAACAACCAGAUCUUGCUUAUCGUAUCCUCUUGAAUAUACCUGUCACCGUUGCAUCAGCUGAAAGAAGUUUCUCAAAACUGAAAUUACUAAAUUAUUUGAGGUCAACAAUGUCCCAAGAAAGACUGAAUGGUUUGGCCAUAUGCUGCAUCGAGAAGAAUACAUUGGACAGUAUUGAUCUUGACAUUAUCAUUGAUGAUUUUGCGUCAAAAAAUGCACGGAAGUCUCGCUUCGCAUGA